UCCAGAAAUUUCGAUUAUCAGACGGAUUCCGUUUCAAGAUCUCCAUCGCGCAGACUGUCUCCGAUCUGUUUCCCGGCAAUCUGUUUUGUCUAGCCGGAUUUCGGUUUCUUGGUUUGGAGAAUUUUGGGGGAAAGCGAGGGGUAAGAUCGGAAAGAAAAGACUUCUGCAUGAGCUGGUCAGGAAAGCUGGGUUGUAAUAUAUUAUUGUCCUAUUCUUCAAAUUCUUCAGGCCAUUUUACGACGUGCCUCUUGAUUUUUAUUCUCCAUUUUUCUCCUCAGUUGCUUGCUUCACUCUUUAAAUUCGAGAACAAAUCUAUACAGCCGUUAC
This 327-nucleotide long non-coding RNA is filed under the name Linum usitatissimum (flax). RNAcentral describes it as "long non-coding RNA (LUSI_LNC001088)". The record is from RNAcentral. Lineage: Eukaryota; Viridiplantae; Streptophyta; Magnoliopsida; Malpighiales; Linaceae.